Molecule: long non-coding RNA, 345 nt
Organism: Athene cunicularia (burrowing owl)
Lineage: Eukaryota; Metazoa; Chordata; Aves; Strigiformes; Strigidae
Exons: 3
Source: RefSeq, a predicted model, not a curated record
CCGCUGCGGGUGCCCCGGGCCAGAGGCGCGGGAGAGCCGAGCUCAGCUCCGUGCCUGCGCUGUAGAACGGCUCCCAGGUACCCGGGCCUGUGCUGAUCUAUAAUUCAGCAUGAGCUUGAUGUUCUUUUUCUGAGUGGAUCUAUCAAAUGGAUUGGUCGCUGUGAGUCUCCAGGGUGCACCCUGUACUGCCCAGUACAGGGACAUACAACAGGGAAAGCUCAGAAGUUUGCUCUCUUCAGAGGAGCGGGACAGGUAUUCUGCUGAUACCCUGGAAACCAAGAGAGCAGACCCCCAUCCACUGGCAUGCUGGAUCUUUAAAUGGCAAGGUGCUGAGCUGAAGGAGGA